This 572-nucleotide ribosomal RNA is filed under the name uncultured Pseudomonas sp. RNAcentral describes it as "bacterial SSU rRNA". It matches the Rfam family "Bacterial small subunit ribosomal RNA", at positions 146 to 715 of the family's 1533-position model. The record is from RNAcentral. Lineage: Bacteria; Pseudomonadati; Pseudomonadota; Gammaproteobacteria; Pseudomonadales; Pseudomonadaceae.
ACGUUUCGACGGACGCUAAUACCGCAUACGUCCUACGGGAGAAAGUGGGGGAUCUUCCUAUGCCUAGCUAUCAGAUGAGCCUAGGUCGGAUUAGCUAGUUGGUGAGGUAAAGGCUCACCAAGGCGACGAUCCGUAACUGGUCUGAGAGGAUGAUCAGUCACACUGGAACUGAGACACGGUCCAGACUCCUACGGGAGGCAGCAGUGGGGAAUAUUGGACAAUGGGCGAAAGCCUGAUCCAGCCAUGCCGCGUGUGUGAAGAAGGUCUUCGGAUUGUAAAGCACUUUAAGUUGGGAGGAAGGGCUGUAGGCUAAUAUCCUGCAGUUUUGACGUUACCGACAGAAUAAGCACCGGCUAACUUCGUGCCAGCAGCCGCGGUAAUACGAAGGGUGCAAGCGUUAAUCGGAAUUACUGGGCGUAAAGCGCGCGUAGGCGGUUUGCUAAGUUGGAGGUGAAAGCCCCGGGCUCAACCUGGGAACUGCCUCCAAAACUGGCUGACUAGAGUACGGUAGAGGGUGGUGGAAUUUCCUGUGUAGCGGUGAAAUGCGUAGAUAUAGGAAGGAACACCAGUGA